This 544-nucleotide unclassified non-coding RNA is filed under the name Botrytis aclada. RNAcentral describes it as "sequence contains 18S rRNA gene, ITS1, 5.8S rRNA gene, ITS2, 28S rRNA gene". The stretch from base 191 to 344 matches the Rfam family "5.8S ribosomal RNA". The record is from RNAcentral. Lineage: Eukaryota; Fungi; Ascomycota; Leotiomycetes; Helotiales; Sclerotiniaceae.
UCGUAACAAGGUUUCCGUAGGUGAACCUGCGGAAGGAUCAUUACAGAGUUCAUGCCCGAAAGGGUAGACCUCCCACCCUUGUGUAUUAUUACUUUGUUGCUUUGGCGAGCUGCCUUCGGGCCUUGCAUGCUCGCCAGAGAAAACCAAAACUCUUUUUAUUAAUGUCGUCUGAGUACUAUAUAAUAGUUAAAACUUUCAACAACGGAUCUCUUGGUUCUGGCAUCGAUGAAGAACGCAGCGAAAUGCGAUAAGUAAUGUGAAUUGCAGAAUUCAGUGAAUCAUCGAAUCUUUGAACGCACAUUGCGCCCCUUGGUAUUCCGGGGGGCAUGCCUGUUCGAGCGUCAUUUCAACCCUCAAGCUUAGCUUGGUAUUGAGUCUAUGUCAGUAAUGGCAGGCUCUAAAAUCAGUGGCGGCGCCGCUGGGUCCUGAACGUAGUAAUAUCUCUCGUUACAGGUUCUCGGUGUGCUUCUGCCAAAACCCAAAUUUUUCUAUGGUUGACCUCGGAUCAGGUAGGGAUACCCGCUGAACUUAAGCAUAUCAAUAA